Pelobates cultripes (western spadefoot toad) is the source of this 221-nucleotide non-coding RNA. NCBI's taxonomy places the organism in Eukaryota, Metazoa, Chordata, Amphibia, Anura, Pelobatidae. The record is from the annotation of a GenBank genome assembly.
CUCAUCCUUAGCUGGAUCUCAGGGGUAAACAAGUCCAGGAAUGAGGGUAUCCUUUUCUAUUCAGUCUAAGAAGAACACUAUUCCGUCAGUUCUAGAAUCUUCACAUUUCUUUCUUGUAAGUCCCAAAAUCCCAGAGAUCAGAGAUCACAGAGAUAGAUGUGUCCUUCUCUUCUGCUGCUGUGCCUUGUCUGUCUUUUUAUGGUAAGGGAAGUUUAUCCAGC